GUGCCAGCCGCCGCGGUAAUACGUAUGUCGCAAGCGUUAUCCGGAUUUAUUGGGCGUAAAGCGCGUCUAGGUGGUUUGGUAAGUCUGAUGUGAAAAUGCGGGGCUCAACUCCGUAUUGCGUUGGAAACUGCCUAACUAGAGUAUCGGAGAGGUGGGCGGAACUACAAGUGUAGAGGUGAAAUUCGUAGAUAUUUGUAGGAAUGCCGAUAGAGAAGUCAGCUCACUGGACGAAUACUGACACUGAAGCGCGAAAGCAUGGGGAGCAAACAGGAUUAGAUACCCUGGUAGUCCAUGCUGUAAACGAUGAUUACUAAGCGUCGGGGGUCGAACCUCGGCACUCAAGCUAACGCGAUAAGUAAUCCGCCUGGGGAGUACGUACGCAAGUAUGAAACUCAAAGGAAUUGACGG
Molecule: ribosomal RNA, 408 nt
Filed under: uncultured bacterium
Lineage: Bacteria
Description: bacterial SSU rRNA
Rfam family: Bacterial small subunit ribosomal RNA
Source: RNAcentral